GUGACAACGCAAAAGAACCCUACUGACAGAUGAUGAUGCGCUAGUUUGAUAAAGAUUCACCUCAGAGAGGGAGAGGAACACUGCAAAACAUGAAAAAGCAAGGAUUCUUCUACAAUAAUACAUUAUGUUAAAGCACCAUGGAGGCCAUUUAGCAUUUUAUAACUCACAGAUUCUUGUGUCUCGAGGGAAAACGCAGGGACACGGGAGGACUGUAUAAACCGCCGACGUCACCGUGGACGACGACCGCAACCGCGACAACGCCAGCGUCCGCUCCCUCAGACGUCCGCCUCGACCGCGUCCGCCUCCUGAACUGUCAAGCCACCGCUGCCCUCCUCACUCCGCUUUCACACACACACACACACACACACAC
Molecule: long non-coding RNA, 370 nt
Organism: Sardina pilchardus (European sardine)
Lineage: Eukaryota; Metazoa; Chordata; Actinopteri; Clupeiformes; Clupeidae
Exons: 3
Source: RefSeq, a predicted model, not a curated record